GGGUUGUGAGGUUAAGCGACUAAGCGUACACGGUGGAUGCCCUGGCAGUCAGAGGCGAUGAAGGACGUGCUAAUCUGCGAUAAGCGCCGGUAAGGUGAUAUGAACCGUUAUAACCGGCGAUUUCCGAAUGGGGAAACCCAGUGUGAUUCGUCACACUAUCAUUAACUGAAUCCAUAGGUUAAUGAGGCGAACCGGGGGAACUGAAACAUCUAAGUACCCCGAGGAAAAGAAAUCAACCGAGAUUCCCCCAGUAGCGGCGAGCGAACGGGGAGGAGCCCAGAGCCUGAAUCAGCAUGUGUGUUAGUGGAAGCGUCUGGAAAGGCGCGCGAUACAGGGUGACAGCCCCGUACACAAAAGCGCAUGUGCUGUGAGCUCGAUGAGUAGGGCGGGACACGUGGUAUCCUGUCUGAAUAUGGGGGGACCAUCCUCCAAGGCUAAAUACUCCUGACUGACCGAUAGUGAACCAGUACCGUGAGGGAAAGGCGAAAAGAACCCCGGCGAGGGGAGUGAAAAAGAACCUGAAACCGUGUACGUACAAGCAGUGGGAGCACCCUUCGGGGUGUGACUGCGUACCUUUUGUAUAAUGGGUCAGCGACUUAUAUUCUGUAGCAAGGUUAACCGUAUAGGGGAGCCGGAGGGAAACCGAGUCUUAAUUGGGCGUUAAGUUGCAGGGUAUAGACCCGAAACCCGGUGAUCUAGCCAUGGGCAGGUUGAAGGUUGGGUAACACUAACUGGAGGACCGAACCGACUAAUGUUGAAAAAUUAGCGGAUGACCUGUGGCUGGGGGUGAAAGGCCAAUCAAACCGGGAGAUAGCUGGUUCUCCCCGAAAGCUAUUUAGGUAGCGCCUCGUGAAUUCAUCUCCGGGGGUAGAGCACUGUUUCGGCUAGGGGGCCAUCCCGGCUUACCAACCCGAUGCAAACUGCGAAUACCGGAGAAUGUUAUCACGGGAGACACACGGCGGGUGCUAACGUCCGUCGUGAAGAGGGAAACAACCCAGACCGCCAGCUAAGGUCCCAAAGUCAUGGUUAAGUGGGAAACGAUGUGGGAAGGCCCAGACAGCCAGGAUGUUGGCUUAGAAGCAGCCAUCAUUUAAAGAAAGCGUAAUAGCUCACUGGUCGAGUCGGCCUGCGCGGAAGAUGUAACGGGGCUAAACCAUGCACCGAAGCUGCGGCAGCGAACGUAUCACUUAAAGCGAUUCAGCGGGUUACGAUUGACGGAGCGAAGCGACGUCAAAGCGUAUACAAAGUCGAGUCGGUUUAAGGAUACGUUCGUUGGGUAGGGGAGCGUUCUGUAAGCCUGUGAAGGUGUGUCGUGAGGCAUGCUGGAGGUAUCAGAAGUGCGAAUGCUGACAUAAGUAACGAUAAAGCGGGUGAAAAGCCCGCUCGCCGGAAGACCAAGGGUUCCUGUCCAACGUUAAUCGGGGCAGGGUGAGUCGACCCCUAAGGCGAGGCCGAAAGGCGUAGUCGAUGGGAAACGGGUUAAUAUUCCCGUACUUGGUGUUACUGCGAAGGGGGGACGGAGAAGGCUAUGUUGGCCGGGCGACGGUUGUCCCGGUUUAAGCGUGUAGGUGUGUGUUCCAGGUAAAUCCGGUUCACUUUAACACUGAGGCGUGACGACGAGGCACUACGGUGCUGAAGCAACAAAUGCCCUGCUUCCAGGAAAAGCCUCUAAGCAUCAGGUAACAUCAAAUCGUACCCCAAACCGACACAGGUGGUCAGGUAGAGAAUACCAAGGCGCUUGAGAGAACUCGGGUGAAGGAACUAGGCAAAAUGGUGCCGUAACUUCGGGAGAAGGCACGCUGACACGUAGGUGAAGUGAUUUACUCAUGGAGCUGAAGUCAGUCGAAGAUACCAGCUGGCUGCAACUGUUUAUUAAAAACACAGCACUGUGCAAACACGAAAGUGGACGUAUACGGUGUGACGCCUGCCCGGUGCCGGAAGGUUAAUUGAUGGGGUCAGCGCAAGCGAAGCUCCUGAUCGAAGCCCCGGUAAACGGCGGCCGUAACUAUAACGGUCCUAAGGUAGCGAAAUUCCUUGUCGGGUAAGUUCCGACCUGCACGAAUGGCGUAAUGAUGGCCAGGCUGUCUCCACCCGAGACUCAGUGAAAUUGAACUCGCUGUGAAGAUGCAGUGUACCCGCGGCAAGACGGAAAGACCCCGUGAACCUUUACUAUAGCUUGACACUGAACAUUGAGCCUUGAUGUGUAGGAUAGGUGGGAGGCUUUGAAGUGUGGACGCCAGUCUGCAUGGAGCCGACCUUGAAAUACCACCCUUUAAUGUUUGAUGUUCUAACGUGGACCCGUAAUCCGGGUUGCGGACAGUGUCUGGUGGGUAGUUUGACUGGGGCGGUCUCCUCCUAAAGAGUAACGGAGGAGCACGAAGGUUGGCUAAUCCUGGUCGGACAUCAGGAGGUUAGUGCAAUGGCAUAAGCCAGCUUGACUGCGAGCGUGACGGCGCGAGCAGGUGCGAAAGCAGGUCAUAGUGAUCCGGUGGUUCUGAAUGGAAGGGCCAUCGCUCAACGGAUAAAAGGUACUCCGGGGAUAACAGGCUGAUACCGCCCAAGAGUUCAUAUCGACGGCGGUGUUUGGCACCUCGAUGUCGGCUCAUCACAUCCUGGGGCUGAAGUAGGUCCCAAGGGUAUGGCUGUUCGCCAUUUAAAGUGGUACGCGAGCUGGGUUUAGAACGUCGUGAGACAGUUCGGUCCCUAUCUGCCGUGGGCGCUGGAGAACUGAGGGGGGCUGCUCCUAGUACGAGAGGACCGGAGUGGACGCAUCACUGGUGUUCGGGUUGUCAUGCCAAUGGCACUGCCCGGUAGCUAAAUGCGGAAGAGAUAAGUGCUGAAAGCAUCUAAGCACGAAACUUGCCCCGAGAUGAGUUCUCCCUGAGACUUAGAGUCUCCUGAAGGAACGUUGAAGACGACGACGUUGAUAGGCCGGGUGUGUAAGCGCAGCGAUGCGUUGAGCUAACCGGUACUAAUGAACCGUGAGGCUUAACCUUACAACGCCGAAG
This 3008-nucleotide ribosomal RNA is filed under the name Salmonella enterica subsp. enterica serovar Typhimurium. RNAcentral describes it as "bacterial LSU rRNA". It matches the Rfam family "Bacterial large subunit ribosomal RNA". The record is from RNAcentral. Lineage: Bacteria; Pseudomonadati; Pseudomonadota; Gammaproteobacteria; Enterobacterales; Enterobacteriaceae.